AGCCUGAUCCAGCCAUCCCGCGUGAAGGACGACGGCCCUAUGGGUUGUAAACUUCUUUUGUACAGGGAUAAACCUUUCCACGUGUGGGAAGCUGAAGGUACUGUACGAAUAAGCACCGGCUAACUCCGUGCCAGCAGCCGCGGUAAUACGGAGGGUGCAAGCGUUAUCCGGAUUUAUUGGGUUUAAAGGGUCCGUAGGCGGACUCGUAAGUCAGUGGUGAAAUCUCACAGCUUAACUGUGAAACUGCCAUUGAUACUGCGGGUCUUGAGUGUUGUUGAAGUAGCUGGAAUAAGUAGUGUAGCGGUGAAAUGCAUAGAUAUUACUUAGAACACCAAUUGCGAAGGCAGGUUACUAAGCAACAACUGACGCUGAUGGACGAAAGCGUGGGGAGCGAACAGGAUUAGAUACCCUGGUAGUCCACGCCGUAAACGAUGCUAACUCGUUUUUGGGUCUUUAAGAUUCAGAGACUAAGCGAAAGUGAUAAGUUAGCCACCUGGGGAGUACGUUCGCAAGAAUGAAACUCAAAGGAAUUGACGGGGGCCCGCACAAGCGGUGGAUUAUGUGGUUUAAUUCGAUGAUACGCGAGGAACCUUACCAAGGCUUAAAUGGGAAUUGAUUGGUUUAGAAAUAGACCGUCCUUCGGGCAAUUUUCAAGGUGCUGCAUGGUUGUCGUCAGCUCGUGCCGUGAGGUGUUAGGUUAAGUCCUGCAACGAGCGCAACCCCUGUCACUAGUUGCCAUCAUUCAGUUGGGGACUCUAGUGAGACUGCCUACGCAAGUAGAGAGGAAGGUGGGGAUGACGUCAAAUCAUCACGGCCCUUACGCCUUGGGCCACACACGUAAUACAAUGGCCGGUACAGAGGGCAGCUACACAGCGAUGUGAUGCAAAUCUCGAAAGCCGGUCUCAGUUCGGAUUGGAGUCUGCAACUCGACUCUAUGAAGCUGGAAUCGCUAGUAAUCGCGCAUCAGCCAUG
RNAcentral lists this ribosomal RNA (972 nucleotides) under Chryseobacterium lathyri. RNAcentral describes it as "bacterial SSU rRNA". It matches the Rfam family "Bacterial small subunit ribosomal RNA", at positions 380 to 1357 of the family's 1533-position model. Lineage: Bacteria; Pseudomonadati; Bacteroidota; Flavobacteriia; Flavobacteriales; Weeksellaceae. The record is from RNAcentral.